This is a long non-coding RNA of Mesocricetus auratus (golden hamster), 490 nucleotides long. RefSeq lists it as uncharacterized. The record is from RefSeq and is a predicted model, not a curated record. The transcript is spliced from 2 exons. Lineage: Eukaryota; Metazoa; Chordata; Mammalia; Rodentia; Cricetidae.
CCUAGAGGCUCGCUGAGCCGAGCUGAAGCCGGGCCAGCGUACAGGGCUGAUUAGCCCCAGCUGAGGUGGUGGAGGCGGGUAGCGUUGAGAGGCCAGCGGGAGGGGACGCGCCCCUACCCACGCCUGAAAUAGCCUGCUGGGCGUGGCCUAGGCGGCGGAUGGGCGUGACCGAAACAAGCAGGGACCGGGUAGCAGUAGCAGGCCGAAUUGAGGCCGCCAGAGUGUCCUGGCAGAGAGUUGGGCCCGUGGGCUCCGUCUCGCAGACUGAUGGACGGUGCUGAAGCGAGGAUGGAGGGGUCCUUGUAGGCGCUGCUGGCCAGAUUGAAGCAAUGCAAGGCGAGGUCCCUAGGACACGAGUUCUCGUGGAUGGAGGAAAGAGGUUGCCACCUGUAAUUUUGGAAGCUUCGGGUGUGUCAAAAACGUAAUUAACGCCAAGAUCUGAUCCCUGGAAUAACAGAACAUUGAAAAUAAAUUAAAAUUCCAUGCAUUA